RNAcentral lists this ribosomal RNA (597 nucleotides) under uncultured archaeon. RNAcentral describes it as "bacterial SSU rRNA". It matches the Rfam family "Archaeal small subunit ribosomal RNA", at positions 1 to 596 of the family's 1478-position model. The record is from RNAcentral.
UUCGCCCUUUUCCGGUUGAUCCUGCCGGACCUGACUGCUAUCGGAUUGAUACUAAGCCAUGCGAGUCUUUGUAGCAAUACAAGGCAGACGGCUCAGUAACGCGUAGUCAACCUAACCUAUGGAUGGGAAUAACCUCGGGAAACUGAGAAUAAUGCCCAAUAGAACACUAUACCUGGAAUGGUUUGUGUUCCAAAUGAUUUAUUGCCGUAGGAUGGGACUGCGGCCUAUCAGUUUGUUGGUGAGGUAAUGGCCCACCAAGACUAUUACAGGUACGGGCUCUGAGAGGAGUGGCCCGGAGAUGGGUACUGAGACACGGACCCAGGCCCUAUGGGGCGCAGCAGGCGAGAAAACUUUGCAAUGUGCGAAAGCACGACAAGGUUAAUCCGAGUGAUUUGUGCUAAACGAAUCUUUUGUUAGUCCUAGAAACACUAACGAAUAAGGGGUGGGCAAGUUCUGGUGUCAGCCGCCGCGGUAAAACCAGCACCUCAAGUGGUCAGGAUGAUUAUUGGGCCUAAAGCAUCCGUAGCCGGCUCUGUAAGUUUUCGGUUAAAUCUGUACGCUCAACGUACAGGCUGCCGGGAAUACUGCAGAGCUAGG